RNAcentral lists this ribosomal RNA (492 nucleotides) under uncultured bacterium. RNAcentral's name for it is "bacterial SSU rRNA". It matches the Rfam family "Bacterial small subunit ribosomal RNA", at positions 30 to 518 of the family's 1533-position model. The record is from RNAcentral.
UGAACGCUAGCGGCAGGCUAACACAUGCAAGUCGAGGGGCAACGCGAGUAGCAAUACUUGGCGGCGACCGGCGCAAGGGUGCGUAACGCGUGAGCAACAUGCCCGUAUCAGGGGGAUAAUCCAGGGAAACUUGGUCUAAUACCCCAUAGUAAUUUUGUAAGGCAUCUUAUAAGAUUUAAAGCUUUGGUGGAUACGGAUUGGCUCGCGUGACAUUAGCUGGAUGGUAAGGUAACGGCUUACCAUGGCUAUGAUGUCUAGGGGUUCUGAGAGGAAGGUCCCCCACACUGGAACUGAGACACGGUCCAGACUCCUACGGGAGGCAGCAGUGAGGAAUAUUGGACAAUGGAUGGAAAUCUGAUCCAGCCAUGCCGCGUGAAGGAAGAAGGUCCUAUGGAUUGUAAACUUCUUUUGUAUGGGAGCAAUAAGGCCUACGAGUAGGUUGAUGAGAGUACCAUACGAAUAAGCACCGGCUAACUCCGUGCCAGCCGCGGC